Molecule: RNA transcript, 3090 nt
Organism: Helianthus annuus (common sunflower)
Lineage: Eukaryota; Viridiplantae; Streptophyta; Magnoliopsida; Asterales; Asteraceae
Gene name: probable disease resistance protein At5g66900
Exons: 8
Source: RefSeq, a predicted model, not a curated record
UUUAAACUAAAGUAACAAAAUUGACCAAACCACAGGGACCAAAAUCACAGUUUAGUCAAUAAAAAAAGAAGGGUUGAUUUUUGUUUAUAGUCAACCGGUUAGGGGACCCUCUCACACAUCACAUGCCGCGUUUUAAAGACCAAUUCCUCGAAUUUUCCCCUCACCUUUUAAAGUCCAAAGCCAUUACCCAUUUAACCACUGAAAAAUCACACCAGUCAUCGUCUCGGACCACAGGAGCUCGUCAACGUCACUGCUACCAUGAGAGUCAAGAAUUUCUGACUAUAUCCAAAUUUUCACCACAAGUCUGAGUCAUUGAGCUUGAAAUAUAACCAUCUGUUGGUCAAAAGAUUUGGCUAUUACCCACAGAUCGGAGUUCUUCAAUGGCUGAAUUAUUAGGAGCUGCGUUAGGAGAAGCCUUUUCUGAACUAUCAGAUGUGAUCAAACACGUGAUAACAAAAACAUUGCAUUUUAAAUCCGAACUCAAGGAAAUGCAAGCAAAUAUACAGAGAAUGGGGCCUAUCUUCGAGGAUAUGGAGAAACUAAACAAAGAACUGGAUCGGCGGAAAAUGGAAACGGAGCGGAUCAUGAUUCUGUUCAAGAAAGCAGACGAGCUCGUCCGGAAAUGUGAGAAUGUCAAAUGGGAUUUUCAUAACAGAUACCGCCAUGCUUCCAAGUUGGACGAAAUGAAUAAAUCGUUGGUGAAGUAUGUGAAUUAUGACCUUCAGUUUCAGAUUGCGAGGAAUGGAGCUGAAACGUUGGUGGAGCUGAGACGUUUGACGAAAGGGUAUGAGAAAGAGAGUCCAAGUGGUGUCCCGUUGGAAAAGUGUGUUGCUAUAGGAUUUGAUGAUCAGCUUAGGAAGUUGAAGCUCAGGAUUCUUCAAACGGUGAUUGCUCGGUUGUAGUUGUUUCGGCUGCAGGAGGGUGUGGGAAGACCACUCUUGUAACAAUGCUCUGCCAUGAUCCUGAUAUUAAAGAAAAAUUUGGUGAAAACAUCUAUCAUGCUGUAAUCCCAGAGAAAUACAACAUAAAAGUCAUCAUACAAAAAUUACUUAGGAGGAACCAACCGCACGAUUUUUAUAGUGAUGAAGAUGCGUUCCUGCAGUGGGGGCGCUUUUUGGCGAAUAAAUCUGAAAUACUAUUAGUACUUGAUGACGUACGGUCUGAAUCCAUUAUUGAGAAAUUCAUGUUCAAGUCACCCGGAUACAGGAUUCUGGUCACAUCUCGGGAGGGUUUUAGACGAUUCAAUCGGUAUGAACUUCAACUUUUGAACGAUCAAGAUGCCACCAGUCUAUUCCACCGCUCAGCAUUUUCAGAACAUAGUAAGAUUAGUAUACCAGAUGACCUUGUUGUCAAGUUGGUCAAGUGUUGCAAGAAUCAUCCACUGGCUCUUAGAGUGAUUGGUGGUUCGCUAAAUGGGAAACAACUGCCAAGCUGGAUAAUAAUGGCGGAAAAGCUGUCUAAAGGGAGUAAAUUGAUUCACAAGUCUAUACAAGAGUGUUUAGAAAAGAGUUGCUAUCUUUUCGAUGAAGAACCUGAAAUCAAACAUUGUUAUAUGGACUUGGGAUUAUUUCCUGAAGAUCAGAAGAUAGCUACUACAACACUUAUGGACAUGUGGGCCCAUUUGUACAACCAUGACGAUGAUACGGGAUUGACUACCAUGGUCAGCAUUGAUACGCUUUCUUCUAGAAACCUUGCAACUUGGUUGCCCCAAAGGAAACAUAUACCGGCUGUUGCCCACCAUUGUGAGGAAGAAUUUGUUACACAACAUGAUAUGAUGAGGGAAUUGGCUAUUCAUUUAAGCGAAAAAGAGUCAAUAGAACAAAGAGAAAGGUUAAUUAUAAAUACGGAUGGACAAGAUCUUCCUCAGUUGCCCCAAAUUGUCAACGCCCGUGUAUUGUCAAUUACCACAGGCGCGACGAUAGAUGAAAGAUUCUAUUCAACACGGAAUGAAGUUCAAGCCCCUAAAGUGAAAGUUUUUGUAUUGAAUUUCAUGUCAAAUGCGAAUCCCUUUCCACGCUUUAUGCACAACAUGAAGAGUUUGAAGGUUUUAAUAAUCACAAACUACGGAUAUCACUUCUCAGAGAUUCAGAAUUUCCCUGCACUAGAGCAUCUGUCUGGUUUAACUAAAAUUAGGUUGGAUCAUGUUUCAAUAUCUUCAAUUAGUGAAACCAUACUAAUGUUGGAGAACCUGCGGAAAUUGUCCUUGAUCAUGUGCAAAAUAGGAAGCAAUUUUAAUAAAGAUUUCCCCAACAAGUUGACCAACCUUUUGGAGAUUGAUAUUGAAUCUUGUGAUGAUCUAGUUACAUUUCCUGCAAGUUUAUGCAACUUAAAAUGCCUUAAAAAACUCAGCAUCACCAAUUGCCAUAGGCUGACCUCACUUUCUGUUGACUUUGGAAAUUUAUCAAAUUUGGAAGUUUUGCGGCUUGCCUCAUGCACAGAGCUCCCAACAUUACCUGAAUCAAUAACAAACCUUAAGAAUUUAAGAAUCAUUGAUCUAUCCCAGUGUUUAAACCUCUGCGAGUUGCCAGCGCAUAUAGGUGAGUUGGAUACUCUAGAGACAAUUGAUGCAACGGGUUGCACGGGUUUGGAUGAGCUACCAAAAUCAAUCAAGGAUUUUGAUUUUGAUAAAGUGGAAGUGUUUUGCGAUGAGGAGGCCUUUACCUUAUGGAAUGAUUUCAAGAAUCUAAAAGUAAAGAUGGUAGAAAAGGAUCCACUUGAUACCUUUCUCAAGAUCAUCGGAUAACUUAUUAAUGUUGAAUCACAUAACCAACCUAGUCACAUUGAGUUUCUUUUAUAUUUACCGAAUCUUUAAGGAAUAAAUUGGUGGUUAGACCACAAGUCUUUGUUGUUGAGGGGUUGUUCCAGUAAAGAUAUUUGAAGAGCUGAAGUUGAUUUAAGAAUUCUUAAACUUGUGUGAGAUAUUGAGGAUUUGACUCAUGGCUUUUUGUAUUGGAUCAGAUAUGAAUUGUUUACUUAGAAUUUUAAUGUUAUCCCUACAAUUCAUAUGUUGUUAAUGGUCAUUUAGGUUGUUAACUUGACCCCAACUGUAUUGGGACAGUCGAAUCAAAACAUAGAAACCAUGGUUGUUCA